GCCUUCGUGGCCUAACGGAUAAGGCGUCGGCUUUUUAAGCCGAAGAUUGCGUGUUCGAAUCUCAUCGGAGGUA
This 73-nucleotide transfer RNA is filed under the name Paramuricea clavata. It matches the Rfam family "tRNA". Rfam says of the family: Transfer RNA (tRNA) molecules are approximately 80 nucleotides in length. Their secondary structure includes four short double-helical elements and three loops (D, anti-codon, and T loops). Further hydrogen bonds mediate the characteristic L-shaped molecular structure. tRNAs have two regions of fundamental functional importance: the anti-codon, which is responsible for specific mRNA codon recognition, and the 3' end, to which the tRNAs corresponding amino acid is attached (by aminoacyl-tRNA synthetases). tRNAs cope with the degeneracy of the genetic code in two manners: having more than one tRNA (with a specific anti-codon) for a particular amino acid; and 'wobble' base-pairing, i.e. permitting non-standard base-pairing at the 3rd anti-codon position. The record is from Rfam by way of RNAcentral. Lineage: Eukaryota; Metazoa; Cnidaria; Anthozoa; Malacalcyonacea; Plexauridae.